RNAcentral lists this ribosomal RNA (563 nucleotides) under uncultured bacterium. Its description in RNAcentral is "bacterial SSU rRNA". It matches the Rfam family "Bacterial small subunit ribosomal RNA", at positions 338 to 916 of the family's 1533-position model. The record is from RNAcentral.
CCUACGGGAGGCAGCAGUGGGGAAUCUUGCGCAAUGGGCGAAAGCCUGACGCAGCAACGCCGCGUGCGGGAAGAAGGCCCUCGGGUUGUAAACCGCUUUCAGCAGGAACGAAAAUGACGGUACUUGCAGAAGAAGGUGCGGCCAACUACGUGCCAGCAGCCGCGGUGACACGUAGGCACCAAGCGUUGUCCGGAUUUAUUGGGCGUAAAGAGCUCGUAGGCGGUUCGGUAAGUCGGGUGUGAAAACUUUGGGCUUAACCCAAAGCCUGCAUCCGAUACUGCUGUGACUAGAGUUCGGUAGGGGAGCGGGGAAUUCCUAGUGUAGCGGUGAAAUGCGCAGAUAUUAGGAGGAACACCGGUGGCGAAGGCGCCGCUCUGGGCCGAUACUGACGCUGAGGAGCGAAAGCGUGGGUAGCAAACAGGAUUAGAUACCCUGGUAGUCCACGCCGUAAACGUUGGGCACUAGGUGUGGGUUUCAACCAACGAAAUCCGCGCCGUCGCUAACGCAUUAAGUGCCCCGCCUGGGGAUACGGCCGCAAGGUUAAAACUCAAAUGAAUUGACGG